This is a long non-coding RNA of Zingiber officinale, 1242 nucleotides long. RefSeq lists it as uncharacterized. The transcript is spliced from 4 exons. NCBI's taxonomy places the organism in Eukaryota, Viridiplantae, Streptophyta, Magnoliopsida, Zingiberales, Zingiberaceae. The record is from RefSeq and is a predicted model, not a curated record.
CUGAGGCCCGGUCAUGAAUUAUGUGUGUGGCCUCAUAGUUAGGGUUGAGUCCCGGGGGUUUGUUAAGUCGCGCCGCCGUAAGAUCAGUUCAGAAGCUCCGCGUCUCAUGCUCUUCUGCGUCCACCCUAUAUGAUGCCCUCCGCCAUGGCUCACCCCUGCCGUGGCCUUUUCUCUGUAUCUUCCCUCUUCUAUAUCCGGCCACGCCCCUGCUCCUCCUCUCCCCUUAAAUCCCUUUUCUUGCACCCCUUCCGACCCCUGCGGUUGACUUGCAGUAGGAUCAGUUCAGAAACCAUUCGCUCACAAAGAGCAGGAGGGUUACAUCUUGGAGAAGCAAAGCCGGUUCAUCCCGGUCAAGGCUUAUGAUGACGGUGAUUUCUGCGUUUUUAUACGAUACAUCUUGGAGAGCUGUAGGAGCCUGCAGACUCAGAACACGUCCAAUGAUGACCCCUUGCAUCUCUGAUAUUAUAAUGUCAAAUAACGAUGCUGAAGUUAUGAAGAGUGGUUUUGCAAGUGAGUUUUUGUCAUUUUAGUGUGUGUGAUAAUUAUCUUAUACUAUAUCUAAUUGAUAUAGUAGUUUAAAACAAGAUUUUAACUAAAAAUAGUUUUUGUCAUAAGGAUGCAAUCCAAGUUAAAAUUCUUUAAUGCUAUACACUGACUUUGGUUUUCCAUGCAAUUUCGUUGAGAUGAUUUUUUGAUUAUCAUAAAAUCUAAAGUGUCAAAAAUUCAAACUGCAAUUAGAGAAGUCAAACACAAUCAUUAAUAUUUUACAAGUUCAAUAAUAAAUCAAUAUAAAAUAAAAUAUUUUUAUUUAAUCAUCAAGUAAUGAACUUUUGAUUGUAAAAAUAUUUCAUUUUUAUAUUGAUUUAUUAUUGAACUUGUAAAAUAUAAAUGAUUGUGUUUAACUUCUCUAAUUGCAGUUUAAAUUUUUGACAUUUUAGAUUUUAUGAUAAUCAAAAAAUCAUCUUAACGAAAUUGCAUGGAAAGCCAAAGUCAGUGUAUAACAUUAAAGAAUUUUAACUUGAAUUGCACCCUUAUGAUAGAAACUAUUCUUAGUCAAAUUUUUAUUUUAGACUACUACAUCAAUUAGAUAUAGUGUAAAAUAAAUAUCAUACAUACUGAAAUGUAUCGGUCUUCAGAUUUUAUUGAAAUUUUACUAUUGAAGGAAUGGUUACAUAGAUAUUUGAAUGCCCCUGCUGCUGAUACGCGAGGAAAGCCACUCUAAUAUGGUCAUUAUCGAAAGGC